AAAGGGGAACACCAAAAUCUGAAGCUGGGACUGGUGAGGAGAGAAGUGAGCUCUGCUUGGCUUCCUAGAGCAUUUGGUUUGUAUAUGAGUCUCCUGAUGGUCCCUUCAGGUCCCCAUUGACCUUCAAUCCUUGGUCUUCUUUCCUGCUGGCUACCUUCUAAGUCAUGAAUCAGCUCUCUCAUUUCUAAUCAGCAUAGAGUUGGGCCAAAGGUAAGAGCCAAUCCCUGCUUUAUUUAAAAUUGAACAAUAGAGAACAAGAGGAGGAGAGAAAGGUGAAAAUAACCAUAAAGUAUUUCUGAAUGAGAAAGGAAGUAGAUAAACUGUUGGUCCUGGGUGUGAACUGCUCCAACCCAAGUGGCAUGCAUUAGAGGAUUUCUGGCUUCCUGCCAGGCCUACUCUUGGGACUUGGCAUUACUGAGGCUCACAUAAUGCAAGAGAGAUUUGUGGAUCUAACUUCAGGCUGGAAAGAGACAGGCUCUGUUUUAGCAUGAGUGUGUGUGUGUGUGUGUGUGUGUGUGUGUGUGUGUGUAAGAGAGAGAGAGAGAGAGAGAGAGAGAGAGAGAUUUUUUUUUUCCUUUUGCCAUUCUGGGAGUUGAACCCCUGGCCUUGUACAUGCUAGGCAAAAGCUCUAUCACUAAGCUAUAUCUGCAGCCCUAUAUGUGUGUGCAUGUGUAUAUGCCAGGAGGAAGCAUUUGCAUCAUUAUAUUUCUGCUGAUCUGAAAUAAAUGCCUAACUUCACAUUCUCCAGGAUUCAGUGGGCAGGGUCACUCGAAGACAUGUGCAGGGUGUAUCCUGGAUAACAAUGCAUGUCAGGAUGGGAGGAGAAGAGAUACUGAAAAUCUAUCUACCAGCACUGUCCUGAGGCAGUGGCUUUUCUCUGUGUCUAUAGCCAUACCACCCUGAAAGCACCAAUCUUGUCUGUGUGUGCUUGACUUCUAAAAGUUAAGACCAUUUCAUUGUCCCACAAAGGGAAUAACAUAAGAGUUUUAAUUUUGAUAUAAUAAAUUUAGUAGCAGCAUCCUGAUAUUGAUUUUUCCAGAAUCUAGAAGUCCAGAAUCAUUAUAUAGCCAAUGUAUUUGUUCACUUUAUUGUUUCCAAAAUGGGCCACCAAGAUAAACGCUGGUGUCCUUAAUCUUCCUAGAGCUUGGAGGCAAGAACUGAAAAGCAAUUUAAGGGCAUUGUAUAUAUGUGCAUUGUAUGUAUGUGUGUGUGUGUGUUUGCGUGUGUACAUGUUCAAACAGUAAUUUGGAUCAUAGGUGCAGAGAGUUGAACUACUUAUCUAUCUGUUGCUGACAGAGUAUUAGCUCUGAACUUUGAAAGCCUUGACUGUUUUUUCAAAACUUCUGAAAAGCCCCCACUCUACCCCCCACUUCCCUCCCCUUCCCCAAGCAGCCAUUCUGGUGAGUUUAGUCUGUCUCUUUGUGGAUGUACAUGAUCUUGUAAAAGCAUGCAUUGCUUUGGAUAAAUAGAUUUUAAGUUUAUGUAAAUAUUGUAU
This 1495-nucleotide long non-coding RNA is filed under the name Marmota monax (woodchuck). The record is from RNAcentral. Lineage: Eukaryota; Metazoa; Chordata; Mammalia; Rodentia; Sciuridae.